CAGCUCAAAUUUGAAAUCUGGCGGCCUCUGGGCCGUCCGAGUUGUAAUUUGAAGAGGAUGCUUUUGGCGAGGUGCCUUCCGAGUGCCCUGGAACGGGACGCCACAGAGGGUGAGAGCCCCGUAUGGUCGGACACCGAGCCUCUGUAAAGCUCCUUCGACGAGUCGAGUAGUUUGGGAAUGCUGCUCAAAAUGGGAGGUAAACCCCUUCUAAAGCUAAAUACUGGCCAGAGACCGAUAGCGCACAAGUAGAGUGAUCGAAAGAUGAAAAGCACUUUGAAAAGAGAGUUAAAUAGCACGUGAAAUUGUUGAAAGGGAAGCGCUUGCGACCAGACUUGUGCUCGUCGAAUCAGUCGCCCCUCGCGGGCGGCGCACUUCGGCGGGCUCAGGCCAGCAUCAGUUCGCUGCAGGGGGAGAAAGGCGGCGGGAAUGUGGCUCUUCGGAGUGUUAUAGCCCGCCGCGCAAUACCCCUCGGCGGACUGAGGACCGCGCAUCUGCAAGGAUGCUGGCGUAAUGGUCGUCAGCGACCCGUCUU
RNAcentral lists this ribosomal RNA (532 nucleotides) under Scedosporium dehoogii. Its description in RNAcentral is "LSU rRNA". It matches the Rfam family "Eukaryotic large subunit ribosomal RNA", at positions 104 to 655 of the family's 3401-position model. The record is from RNAcentral. Lineage: Eukaryota; Fungi; Ascomycota; Sordariomycetes; Microascales; Microascaceae.